GUGGGGAAUAUUGGACAAUGGGCGAAAGCCUGAUCCAGCCAUGCCGCGUGUGUGAAGAAGGCCUUUUGGUUGUAAAGCACUUUAAGCGAGGAGGAGGCUACCGAGAUUAAUACCCUUGGAUAGUGGACGUUACUCGCAGAAUAAGCACCGGCUAACUCUGUGCCAGCAGCCGCGGUAAUACAGAGGGUGCGAGCGUUAAUCGGAUUUACUGGGCGUAAAGCGUGCGUAGGCGGCUUUUUAAGUCGGAUGUGAAAUCCCUGAGCUUAACUUAGGAAUUGCAUUCGAUACUGGUUGGCUAGAGUAUGGGAGAGGAUGGUAGAAUUCCAGGUGUAGCGGUGAAAUGCGUAGAGAUCUGGAGGAAUACCGAUGGCGAAGGCAGCCAUCUGGCCUAAUACUGACACUGAGGUGCGAAAGCAUGGGGAGCAAACAGGAUUAGAUACCCGUGUAGUCC
Molecule: ribosomal RNA, 451 nt
Filed under: uncultured bacterium
Lineage: Bacteria
Description: partial 16S ribosomal RNA
Rfam family: Bacterial small subunit ribosomal RNA
Source: RNAcentral